GUUUGAUCCUGGCUCAGAGCGAACGUUAGCGGCAGGCUUAACACAUUCAAGUCGAGCGAGAAAGGGGCUUCGGCUCCGAGUAAAGCGGCGGACGGGUGCGUAACACGUGGAUAAUCUGCCUCGUGGCGGGGGACAACAGUCCGAAAGGACUGCUAAUACCGCAUGUCAGGUCGGAAACUCCGGUUUCUGACGAAAAGAGGGCGUCCGCAAGGAGCUCUCACCACGAGAUGAGUCCGCGUCCCAUCAGCUAGUUGGCGGUGUAAUGGACCACCAAGGCUUAGACGGGUAGCUGGUCUGAGAGGAUGACCAGCCACACUGGGACUGAGACACGGCCCAGACUCCUACGGGAGGCAGCAGUGGGGAAUAUUGGACAAUGGGCGAAAGCCUGAUCCAGCCAUGCCG
This 402-nucleotide ribosomal RNA is filed under the name uncultured bacterium. RNAcentral describes it as "bacterial SSU rRNA". It matches the Rfam family "Bacterial small subunit ribosomal RNA", at positions 11 to 399 of the family's 1533-position model. The record is from RNAcentral.